Molecule: ribosomal RNA, 505 nt
Filed under: uncultured bacterium
Lineage: Bacteria
Description: partial 16S ribosomal RNA
Rfam family: Bacterial small subunit ribosomal RNA
Source: RNAcentral
AUUGAACGCUGGCGGCAGGCCUAACACAUGCAAGUCGAACGGUAGCACAGAGGAGCUUGCUCCUUGGGUGACGAGUGGCGGACGGGUGAGUAAUGUCUGGGAAACUGCCCGAUGGAGGGGGAUAACUACUGGAAACGGUAGCUAAUACCGCAUAACGUCGCAAGACCAAAGAGGGGGACCUUCGGCCUCUUGCCAUCGGAUGUGCCCAGAUGGGAUUCGCUAGUAGGUGGGGUAACGGCUCACCUAGGCGACGAUCCCUAGCUGGUCUGAGAGGAUGACCAGCCACACUGGAACUGAGACACGGUCCAGACUCCGACGGGAGGCAGCAGUGGGGAAUAUUGGACAAUGGGCGCAAGCCUGAUGCAGCCAUGCCGCGUGUAUGAAGAAGGCCUUCGGGUUGUAAAGUACUUUCAGCGAGGAGGAAGGUGUUGUGGUUAAUAACCGCAGCAAUUGACGUUACUCGCAGAAGAAGCACCGGCUAACUCCGUGCCAGCAGCCGCAGUAA